Long non-coding RNA from Neopsephotus bourkii (Bourke's parrot), 2004 nucleotides. RefSeq lists it as uncharacterized. The record is from RefSeq and is a predicted model, not a curated record. The transcript has 5 exons. Lineage: Eukaryota; Metazoa; Chordata; Aves; Psittaciformes; Psittacidae.
UAAUUUCUCAUCACUGACAGGUAAGGUGUAAAGAGCACAUGGGUUUUGUUUAGGGGCUGCAGUCAUAGGAGUAGUAAAAUCCUGGUAGGUGGUAGCAAAGUCUUACACAUCAUCACAGUGAAUAGGAAGUUUUUGAGCUAGACAAAAUGCUCUGCUCCCCCAUCACCAGCAGGCUGAGAUAAAUCACUGUCGUUUCUCCCUGUUUGUGUGCUAUUAAAUGCAUUCUCUUACAAGCUAGUAACUCAAAGUGUGUGGUAGUGUCUACAGUGGAAGCCUGUAAGAUAUUUUCUUUCCUAUUGCUCAUCGUUCUUUCUCUGUGUCCAGUACACUGUGCUCCUUAGGGCAAGUAAGUGCUGGAGGUGAUGCAGGCUUUUUAGGGGGUUACUCUCGAGGGGAAGGUUUAGAGCAUAUGAGUUUCGUUUGCUUCCCAAGGUAUGGGAACAGCGAGUAAGUCUUGUCACCAGGUGGCACCAUUAACCUAAGUUAUGUUUCAGCUAGGUGAACGCGAUGGAGUUUGUGUUCAAAACGAAUUGAGUAGAAAGAUUGCUCUUUUCACCUUUCUUCACAGUGUAAGUAAAAACACGGCACAGAAUGGGCAAAAUCCUGCUGUUCACUGGCACAUUUCAAAUUCUUUCAUGCGUUUGCAGUGUUACAAUGGGGUGAAGAAUAUUCCACACUUUGUCUAUGCUGUGAAAGUCAAUGAUUAUGCAGUCUUUGUGUCAGCGUCCAGUCCCUGUGUGAGUGGUGGAACAGAGGCACUGGAGUCUCCGUACUCAGAUGUAUUGAACACCUGAGUGGAUGAAGCUCUGAGGAUGUAGUUAACCCUGCUGAGCUGGGAUAGCUUCACAAAGAAAGCAACCAGACAUGGAACCAUCUCCCAUCCAGUGCCAGUGGCUGCUGCGUAUGAUGUCCUUGGAUGCCCUAAAGAUUAGGCAGUCUGAUCCGCCUGGCUCAUGUAACAAAGUCGUUUCUCCAUCUACAAAGUUAAGCUCAUGCUCUCUGAAAAUGAAGAGGAAAAAUGGAAAGUAAUAUUCUGAGAAAAUAAAUAGGGACAUCUGGCUCUUGAGGGGACAGAAUUGUGGACCAGUCCUCUCAUGUGGCAAUGCAUUAUGAGCAACAGAAAAGGUUCUUCUACUCUGCUAUUUUUCACAGUUCAGCUUCAGUCAUCAGCCUGCACUGCAGGACCGUUACUGGCCACUCCAGUUUGCUGCAUCACUCGUACCGUGCCACUUUUCAACAUCCAGGAGAGCUCAAUGCUUCUGCUAUAAAGAAUGGGGACAUAAAGACCAGCCUGCAUAUUUGUGUCCUUCAAGUAUAUCCACUUGAGGAAAAAGCUGUAUGCUAUUGGAUAAGGUCCUGAAACACAAUUUAAAGGCAUCAGCAGCAGAAAAAAAAAGAAUCCUGAAGUGAGAAAAAGACGUGCUUCUUGAGCAUGAUUCAUUUUAAUCAUGGAGCUGUAUAGAAGCAGACAUUGAUAUGAUGAAGUUGACGUGUGACAGAAUAGCAUAUGGACUUCCAUCAAUAAGUCAGCUCCAUCGUCCCUCAGUCAUCACUACUGUCUUAGUAAACCAUAAUUUUUAGGGAAUUGCUCAGCAUGUGUAUGAGCUUUCCCAGUCCUAAAUUCUUUUUAGCUUCAUAUUUCUUCUGGAAUGAAAAUUGGAGACAGUGUAGCCCAUAAGUUGCUGUGAAGGCAUCGAGGCAGCAUCCCUCACUUUUAGGGGACUGGUGUGGUGGUAUGCAGGAACCUAAUGUUCUAUGCAAUUUAUGAUUUUCCUCUUUAUUGAGGAAAUAAUUCUGUUUGUUUGCAGGUUUAUGAACUUGCAGACUUGAAUGAACAGUACUGAAAGCCAGAAAUCACUUUAUAUCGGCUGUUCCGUCUUAAAUGAAGAAAUGUUAUAUAUUGUUAACACUCUGAUCUCCAAGAGUUUGUGAAAAAGGAAUGGUUUUUGAGAUCAAAUGUCAUUUUAAAAUGUUGAAUAUUAAUCAUUAAAAUUUCUUUCUUUA